RNAcentral lists this ribosomal RNA (423 nucleotides) under uncultured bacterium. RNAcentral describes it as "bacterial SSU rRNA". It matches the Rfam family "Bacterial small subunit ribosomal RNA", at positions 358 to 773 of the family's 1533-position model. The record is from RNAcentral.
GGAAUAUUGGACAAUGGGCGCAAGCCUGAUCCAGCCAUGCCGCGUGCGGGAAGAAGGCCUUCGGGUUGUAAACCGCUUUUGUCAGGGAAGAAACGCUCCGGGCCAAUACCCUGGAGUAAUGACGGUACCUGCAGAAUAAGCACCGGCUAACUACGUGCCAGCAGCCGCGGUAAUACGAAGGGUGCAAGCGUUAAUCGGAAUUACUGGGCGUAAAGCGUGCGUAGGUGGUUUGUUAAGUCUGAUGUGAAAGCCCUGGGCUCAACCUGGGAAUUGCAUUGGAUACUGGCAGUCUAGAGUGCGGUAGAGGGUAGCGGAAUUCCCGGUGUAGCAGUGAAAUGCGUAGAUAUCGGGAGGAACAUCCGUGGCGAAGGCGGCUACCUGGACCAGCACUGACACUGAGGCACGAAAGCGUGGGGAGCAAAC